Manacus vitellinus (golden-collared manakin) is the source of this 1229-nucleotide long non-coding RNA. RefSeq lists it as uncharacterized. The record is from RefSeq and is a predicted model, not a curated record. The transcript is spliced from 3 exons. NCBI's taxonomy places the organism in Eukaryota, Metazoa, Chordata, Aves, Passeriformes, Pipridae.
GGGCAACGCGCCGGGCGCGUCUGAUCGUGCGCUCAGCCUGAGCUGUCAGACCUGAUAAAAGCAGCGAGUAAAGAACUCGCUUAAAUGCCGAUGCAGCACUUGCAGGAAAUGGCUUCGGUCUGGAAAAUGGUGGCAGGCGAUGGUGUCACUCUGUCUCCAGUUCAACUGUGGAAGAGGCAUUUCCCUCACAUUCCUGGUCUUGAUCUCAAGUUGUGUUUGCUGCUGAGGAGGACAGGUCCUUCCAGCUCAAUGUGCUAGGCCCUUGCUUCUCUUUUCCUUUCCAUCCAAGAAAGACAAAAAUCCAGCUAAGGAAAAAGUAUGGGACAGAUAACCAGACUGCACCAGUAUAUCUUCACAUGAAGAAAGAAGAAAUGAAACUUCCCAGAAGUUAAUGCUUGUGAACUUCUAAGAAACUAGAACAUUAAAGCUGUUAUAUACUAUCAUAGAACACUGGAUAGAUACCAAACAAAAAUUGUCCCAACAAGUUUACAUUUGCAGCAUGGAAAAAGAAGGAAGCUGCAUAAUUCAUAUUCUACAGUUUACAGAAAACGUAAAAUGUUUUGACUCCAAAUCAAAUAUUUUGGCUUUUUGCCAUUUAUCAAGUAUUCUGCUCAUAUCACUUAAGACAAUUUAAUGACAACAAGAAUGCUUACAGAAAGAGGCAAUGUUGGCUUUCAUUCACUGGGAAAUCAACUUUGCUGGUGAAAAAUUACUAAAACGUAUACAAAAGAUUUACAGGAAUAAAAAUAUGGUAUUAUACUGAUGCAAGUAUAGUUUUGAAUAUCCAUUUAAAAUCAAUAUGUUAUGUUGCAAAAUAAAUGUUAAUGUACCUUGAAAAGUAAAGCCCUGUGAUAGAACGUCCCUUUUUUGAUUUUCCCGAUAGGCACAAUGUUGCAUUUCAGUUCAAAUUCUAUUUCACUUAUGUGAAGUUCCCAGCUGAAGUCAUGUAGUUUGUCUCUUUCAAUAGAGCCACCCAUCCUGUCUGCAACAAACCUGUUCCAAAUGCAUACUGGGAUCAAUUACAUCGACAGUUCCUCUUGUAUUUAUCACAAAAAUGUAGCAAAAUGAAAUGUAUACAACCAGUAAGUGAAUGAAAUAUGAGAGUAAUACUCCCUCUAUGUUUGCUUAAUUUUUUUAAUUCAGUAAUUGGUAUUUUAAAUAUGCUUACUAUAAAUAUAGAUAACCAUAACUCAGGUCAUUCAGAUUUGUCACAGACCUAAAACAAGGUG